This 263-nucleotide non-coding RNA is filed under the name Secundilactobacillus similis. Its description in RNAcentral is "Lactobacillus similis T-box sequence". It matches the Rfam family "T-box leader". Rfam says of the family: Uncharged tRNA acts as the effector for transcription antitermination of genes in the T-box leader family. T-boxes are found upstream of many aminoacyl-tRNA synthetase genes and some amino acid biosynthetic genes usually in Gram-positive bacteria. The record is from RNAcentral. Lineage: Bacteria; Bacillati; Bacillota; Bacilli; Lactobacillales; Lactobacillaceae.
AAUAAAGUUGUGAUUAGAAAAAGUAGUAAUUAGCCAACGCGAAGCGAGUCCGGGAUGAUGGGAACCGGAUCGGUGGGGAUUACGAACACACGUCUAUGAACUGACAGCUGAAUCAAGUAGGCUGCUCCGCAUGUUUAGCGUUAUCAGGGUUACCGUAACUGUUCUCGGUGGGAUUAGACCGACGACUAGUUAUUGGCAACGUAAGGUCGUCACUGUGAGGUGGCGGCAAAUUGAGGUGGAACCGCGAUUAAAUCGUCCUCGUA